RNAcentral lists this unclassified non-coding RNA (350 nucleotides) under soil metagenome. RNAcentral describes it as "partial contains 5.8S ribosomal RNA, internal transcribed spacer 2, and large subunit ribosomal RNA". The stretch from base 1 to 120 matches the Rfam family "5.8S ribosomal RNA", at positions 35 to 154 of the family's 154-position model. The record is from RNAcentral.
GAUGAAGAACGCAGCGAAACGCGAUAUGUAAUGUGAAUUGCAGAAUUCAGUGAAUCAUCGAAUCUUUGAACGCACAUGGCGCCUUCCAGUAUCCUGGGAGGCAUGCCUGUCCGAGCGUCGUUUCAACCCUCGAGCCCCCGUGGCCCGGCGUUGGGGAUCUGCCACGGCAGGCCCCUAAAACCAGUGGCGGACCCGAAGGCCCUCUCCUUUGCGCAGUAGCAUCAGCCUCGCAUUGGGAUCCCUCGGCGUCCUGCCUCUAAACCCCCCACAAGUCCGCUCCGGCGGCACCAAGGUUGACCUCGGAUCAGGUAGGAAUACCCGCUGAACUUAAGCAUAUAAUAAGCGGAGGA